UGAACUGUGAUAGAUACAUUGUGAUCUGUUAUAGAUACAUUGAAAAGCCGUCAACAGAGAUCAGCAUUGGGGAUCUGUCAUACAGAAGAUAUUUUUCCACAGUAACUAAGGCGUGGUGCGAACUCCUGCUCAACUUCUGCCUGAUGUGCACUUUCUUAAGGUCUAGUCAAAAUUUUCCAGAGGAUUCCUUCCUGCACACUGCCCAUCAUUCUCAGGUAGCAGCUUUCCCCCAGUCCCUUGGAAUUCACAUCCAUUUUGGCUCUUCAACCCUCCCAGAAUUGGAAUAUGGUCACAGAAACCCUCUGUUUCCUUCCAACAACUCUUGGCUUAGUGACAAGGGUCAGAAAGAGGAAGGAGUUAGGACCAUCCAAUAUUCUCUGAAUGUACACCCCCCAAUGACUUAAAGACUCCCCAUGAGGCCCUCCCUAACAAGGUUCUUCUCAUUAUAUC
This 450-nucleotide long non-coding RNA is filed under the name Mus pahari (shrew mouse). RNAcentral describes it as "lncRNA (MGP_PahariEiJ_G0003123.1)". The record is from RNAcentral. Lineage: Eukaryota; Metazoa; Chordata; Mammalia; Rodentia; Muridae.